UCCCUGGUGGUCCAGUAGCUAAGACACUGCACUCCCAGUGCAGGGGACCCAGGUUCGAUCCCUGGUCAGGGAA
Molecule: non-coding RNA, 73 nt
Organism: Cervus elaphus (red deer)
Lineage: Eukaryota; Metazoa; Chordata; Mammalia; Artiodactyla; Cervidae
Source: the annotation of a RefSeq genome assembly